Salvelinus fontinalis (brook trout) is the source of this 4554-nucleotide long non-coding RNA. RefSeq lists it as uncharacterized. NCBI's taxonomy places the organism in Eukaryota, Metazoa, Chordata, Actinopteri, Salmoniformes, Salmonidae. The record is from RefSeq and is a predicted model, not a curated record. The transcript has 4 exons.
GCACAAACCUUUUCACAUUUUCUGGCCGGUGCCAGGUUUGCCUUCAUUGUUGUUUUCAUUACUACAUGAUAUUAACGUUGGACAUGUGUGCAUUUCUAUCAAAAAACCAAACACACAAACAGCAUUUGACAAUAUCACAACUGGAGCUGGACAUCUUUGGAGCUGAAGAUUGAGGACAGCUUUCGUAUUCUGGCGUACACUACUUUAUGAACAGUUUUACUGGAUGGAAACACAUAGUAAUAGUUGUCUAUUUUAUUGAAGUAUUGGUGGUGGUUGAACAACAACAAUGUGUUUACUAGAGGGAAAAAACUGCAGGAAAAUACUGACAACUUAUGAAUACGCAUAACCCUUAUCUCAUAUUCCUGCAGUGAUUCAACAACAACUGUGUUUCCACCCCCCAUCAUGGCAGAUCACCGGUCAAGUCAGUCAGUCAGUAAUUGCUGCUCAAUAGUGCUUGAACAUAUGGUACUCCCCAAAGCAUGGUGAAACACAGUGGUGUGUCUCAAGCUAAACAUGAACUUUGUCAACCUCCUCUGCUUCCUUCUCCUGGUGCCAGACAGGCAGACUUUGCAGUGCCUCUGUGUGUGACUACCUUGCGCAGCAGUUUGAGGGACUUCACAGGGAAAAUGCUAUGCAGUGAGGUGUAGGGGAUUGUCUGCAGCAGGACGGCCCCCAGUGGAUGGGCGCCGAGGGGUGUGGUGCUCCUCCAGCAGCUCUCUCAUGAGGUGGUCCACCUUCCCUGUGGCCCGACAUGGUUGCUGUACGGAUAGUGGAGAAGACAUGGACGUCUCGUUUGUCUUGCCACUUUACUGCCAUCUAUUGACCGUACUCCUUGAACUAAACCUCCCUUCUCUGCAUCUUCCUGCAUACGAAUGUCGGCGUCCCCUUCCUGUUCGACCUGACUGUGCCACAAGCCCCUGUGCUGUUGGAGAGCAGAAGCUGGAAGAGUGUGGGACUGCUUUACCAAUUGUCCACAUACAAAUUGUGUCCCUUGCCGAGAUGAGGAGCCAGCAUGGUCAUCACCGUGGACCCGGACACCCCAAGCCCCUCAUAAUGUUGGAUGUCAGUGGUAGACCCUGCAUAGACUAUAAUGUCCUGGACAAAUCCUGUCUUCACGUCGCACAUAACAAAGAACUUGACCCCAAACCUGUGCCUUUUGUAGGAAAUAUAUUGAAGGAAUGCCAGCCUACCUUUCCAUAACAUCAGGGACUCAUAAAUGCAUAGCUCCUUGUAUGGCACAAAGACCCAACCAAAUGCUGAUGUCAGGCUGCUCCAAGGCAAACCGAUUGGUCGUCUCUACUAUGUCUCCCACCAGCUCCUCUGUCAGAUACAACUUCAAGCACUCUGCCUCAGAGGGAAAUGGCAAGGGGAUUUGCAUUCCAGACUGGGACUCAAAGCAAACAUCAGGGCCAGGAGGGGUGAAAUGGCUGGCGGCCUUCCAGCUACCACAGACCUGCUGUACUUCAUCCACUGUCGGUCUGCAUCCAUCACCACCAGCAUCUUCAAAGGGACCUGGAACUUCAUCAGUGGACAAGGGGUUCUCAGGUUCAGGGUUCUCAAUGGCAACAAGGUUGGGGGCAGCUCCUCACUAUCAAAAUCUGAUUCCUGACUUUCAUACUCAGACUCAUUGUCAGAAUUGAUCAAAAUCUCCAGAAUUUUCGCAUUUGUGAGUUGUCUCCUUUUGAGAGAUAUUGCUAAUGCUACAGCUCAGCUCACUAGCUACAUAUAUAAACAAAAACACUGAAUUGCUCAGAGUGGGAGUGAGAGGUUACGUGAUUGACUGCCAGCACAUGCCACUUGUAUCAAUAAAUCACUAUCAGAUUAAAUAACUACCAUUUUGUGUGGUAAUUAUUUAUCUUAUUUAUCUUUGGUCUGUCGGACCAAAAAGAGCCUGGCUGAUUUUUUUUUGUGGCUGGCAGUUGGCAUGAACCAAUUUAUCGCGUAAAUUGCGACCUCUCCUCUACACAAAAAGUGGUGGAUUUUUAAAUUCAGCCUGCAAAGCUGGGUCCGAUGAUAAAAUAUUCCAGUGUUUCUUGACCACACCUGCCACUUUUCGCGAAUUCAAAGUAUAUGUAGUUGUGAACAUUACGGAGUGUUCUGUAGCUUUAGCGGGUCUUUUUUGGAACAGUUCAUCUCGUGUUUUUCCCAAUGCCAAAUAAAGAGCUUCAUCCACACAUUGUGGCGAAUAGCCUCUUAGAAACAUAUUGGCAUCUCCGCUGCUUUUUCUAGAUAAUCUUCUGUGGAGUGGCAUAUACGGCGCAGUCUGAAAAAUUGGCUUCUUGGAAGUCCUUUUUAAUGGCUCAGGAUGGAAGCUGUCCCCCUUUAAUAGAGUAUUUCUGUCUGUUUCCUUUCUAUACAGAGUUGUAAACAGGGUUCCAUUUGAUUUCUCAGUCCACAUAUCGAGGUAAUGAACACGUUGAGUGUCACGUUCAAUAGUGAAUUUGAGAUUGGGGUCAAUGUCAUUGAGUAGUGCCAUAAAACCUGACAGGUCUUUUUCAAUUCCUUCCCAUAUGCAAAAAAUGUCGUCACUAUAUCGAUACCACUUCAGGACUUAAUUCAAAAAUUGAUUUUCAUUUUCAUUAUUAACAAAACAUUCUUCAAAAAGAGCCACAUAAAGGUUAGCAUAGCUCGGAGGGAAUGUGGAGCCAAUCGAUGUUCCAUUCGUUGGGAGGUAGUAUUCAUCAUCAAACCUAAAAUAGUUAUACGUCAAAACAUAUUCAGCCAGUUCUAGAAUGAAGUUUGUUGGUGGAUAUUCAUUACUCUGUACUUUGCUCCGUUCAUCUUUCCCUAGUCUCCCAGUCCCUGCCGCUAAAAAACAUCCCCACAGCAUGAUGCUGCCACCACCACGCUUCACCAUAGAGAUGGUACCAGGUUUCCUCCAGAUGUGAUGCUUGGCAUUCAGGCCAAAGAGUUCAAUCUUGGUUUCAUCAGACCAGAGAAUGGUGUUUCUUUAGGUGCCUUUUGGCAAACUCCAAGUGGGCUGUCAUGAGCCUUUUUACUGGUGAGUGGCUUCCGCCUAGCCACUCGUGUGUAGAUGAAUGAGGAAAAAAUAUAUUUUUUAUCCAUUUUAGAAUAAGACUGCAAUGUAACUGUGGAAGUCUGUCAAAUGUGGAAAACGUUAUAGAGUCUAAAUACUUUCCAAAUGCACUGUAUCCAUCUAAUAGGGCUUUCUUUAAUGGUGGUGUACCACAGGGCAGCACUCUAGGCCCUCUAAUCUUUUCUAUAUUUACCAAUGACCUGCCACUGGCAUGAAACAAAGCCUGAAUGUCCAUGUAUGCUGAUGAUUCAACCAUAUACGUGUCAACAACCACAGCUAAUGAAGUCACUGAAAUCUUUCACAAGGAAUUGCAGUCAGUUUUGGAAUGGGUGGCCAGCAAUAAACUGGUACUCAACAUCUCUAAAACUAAGAGCAUUGUAUGUGGUACAAAUCAUUUCCUAUGCUCUGUACCUCAGCUGAAUCUGAUAAUGAAUGGUGUGGCUGUUGAACAAGUUGAUGAGACCAAAUUACUUGGUGUUACCUUAUAUUGUACAGUGUCAUGGUCAAAACAAAUAGAUUCAAUGGUUGAAAAUAUGGGGUGAGGUGUAACGGCUGUCUUCCUCCUCCUAGAAGAGGAGGAGUAGUAAGGAUCGGAGGACCAAUGCGCAGCGUGGUACGUGUUCAUGCUCUUUAAUAAAACAAUCGAACACUGAAACAAAACAAUACAAAGAAAUAACAAAAGAACUAAGGUCAGAACAUGACAGUACCCCCCCCCCCAAGGUGCGGACUCCGGCCGCAAAACCUGAACCUAUAAGGGAGGGUCUGGGUGGGCAUCCGUCCGCGGUCGCGGCUCUGGCGCGGGACGUGGACCCCACUCCACCAAAGUCUUAGUCCGCUUCAGUGGUGUCUUUAGAACGGCGACCCUUGCCACCGACCUUGGACUGGGGACCCUAAUAAAUGCCUCUGGACUGAGGAGCGGCUCCGGACUGAGGAGCGGCUCCGGACUGAAGGGCAGCUCCGGACUGAAGGGCAGCUCCGGACUGAAGGGCAGCUCCGGACUGAGGGGCAGCUCCGGACUGAGGGGCAGCUCCGGACUGAGGGGCAGCUCCGGACUGAGGGGCAGCUCCGGACUGAAGGAGCACCUGGAGGAAGGAAACGGAGAGACAGCCUGGUGCGUGGGGCUGCCCCCGGAGGUCUGGUACGUGGAGGAGGCACCGGAUAGACCGGACCGUGGAGGCUCACUGGAGGUCUCGAGCACCGAGCCUGCCCAACCCUACCUGGAUGAAUGCUCCCCGUAGCCAGGCCAGUGCGGCGAGGUGGAAUAGCCCGCACUGGGCUGUGCUGGCGAACCGGGGACACCAUGCGUAGGGCUGGUGCCAUGUCCCCCGGCCCGAGGAGACGCACUGGAGACCAGAUGCGCUAAGCCGGCUUCAUGGCACCUGGCUCGAUACCCACUCUAGCCCGGCCGAUACGAGGCGCUGCUAUGUACCGCACCGGGCUCUGCCUGCGCACCGGGGACACCGUGCGCCUCACGGCAUAACACGGUGCCUGCCCGGUCCCUCUCGCUCCACGGUAAG